Molecule: ribosomal RNA, 253 nt
Filed under: uncultured bacterium
Lineage: Bacteria
Description: partial 16S ribosomal RNA
Rfam family: Bacterial small subunit ribosomal RNA
Source: RNAcentral
GACAGAGGGUGCUAGCGUUGUUCGGAAUUACUGGGCGUAAAGGGCGCGUAGGCGGCUCGUUUAGUCGGGUGUGAAAUCCCGGGGCUCAACCCCGGAACUGCAUUCGAUACUGGCGGGCUAGAGACCGGAAGAGGUGGGUGGAAUACCCAGUGUAGAGGUGAAAUUCGUAGAUAUUGGGUGGAACACCGGUGGCGAAGGCGGUUCUCUGGGCAUGUCCUGACGCUGAGGAGCGAAAGUGUGGGGAGCGAACAGG